CUUAGAAAUUCUAGUAUAAAACUUACUGACGAUCUUUGUAUUGUCACAGAACGCAUCUGACUCAAACAGAAAACACAACCAGUUACCAAAAUGAGAGUAUCCUUCAUAUUUGUAUUUUUCUUCAUGGUAGUCGCUGCAGUUUUCGGCAGUGCUGUUUCUGAAGUAGAAGAUCAUCCAGUACAUCGUGUUGUAAGGGCUGAUAAACCUCCUUACUUGCCUAGACCAACACGACCAAGGCCAAUCCAUUAAGAUGCUGCUACUCCAGACACUAAUCUACAAUGGAUAACUAACUACCACGUCACAUAUUGUUAAUAAUUAUUUGCUAUAUGUUCGAAUAAAACCUUAUUUACUAAA
Molecule: long non-coding RNA, 354 nt
Organism: Anoplophora glabripennis (Asian longhorned beetle)
Lineage: Eukaryota; Metazoa; Arthropoda; Insecta; Coleoptera; Cerambycidae
Exons: 2
Source: RefSeq, a predicted model, not a curated record